RNAcentral lists this ribosomal RNA (295 nucleotides) under Syringilla humerosa. Its description in RNAcentral is "partial 12S ribosomal RNA". The record is from RNAcentral. Lineage: Eukaryota; Metazoa; Arthropoda; Insecta; Hemiptera; Liviidae.
AAGUAGUAUAUGUUAUAAUCUUAAAACUUAAAAAAUUUGGCGGUAUUUUAUCUUGUCAGAGGAACCUGUUGAUUAAUUGAUACCCCACGACUUAAUUUACUUUUAAUAAUAUAUUUGUAUACCGCUGUCAUGAAUCUACUUAAAAGUAAACUUUUUUAUUUUAUAAAUUUUAUGUUAAGUCAAGGUGCAAUAUUUAAAGAAUAAUAUGGGUUACUGUUUGUAGUAUGAAUGGAGGAAAUUGGAUUUGAAAGUAAAUUUAUUUAAGAAAUUAUAUGAAUAAAGAUUCUAAAAUAUG